GAUGAAGAACGCAGUGAAAUGCGAUAAGUAAUGUGAAUUGCAGAAUUCAGUGAAUCAUCGAAUCUUUGAACGCACAUUGCGCCCCUUGGUAUUCCGAGGGGCAUGUCUGUUCGAGCGUCAUUUCAACCCUCAAGCACAGCUUGGUCUUGGGCUUCGCCGCUAACCCGGCGGGUCUUAAAAUCAGUGGCGGUGCCGUCGGGCCCUGAGCGCAGUAAUCUCUCUCGCUAUAGGGUCCCGGCGGAUGCUGGCCAGUAACCCCCAAUUUUCUAUGGUUGACCUCGGAUCAGGUAGGGAUACCCGCUGAACUUAAGCAUAUCAAUAAGCGGAGGA
RNAcentral lists this unclassified non-coding RNA (330 nucleotides) under soil metagenome. RNAcentral describes it as "partial contains 5.8S ribosomal RNA, internal transcribed spacer 2, and large subunit ribosomal RNA". The stretch from base 1 to 120 matches the Rfam family "5.8S ribosomal RNA", at positions 35 to 154 of the family's 154-position model. The record is from RNAcentral.